GUGUUUGUAUCCAGGAGGCAAGCCAAAUCAGUCUCCUACAGGACCUGAGAUCCAGGAAUAUUGGGAACAGUGGUGCUGAAAAAUCCUAGCAACUGUUAUCUGUAUUCCCAUAAAGACGGACCUAUAAUCCACCUGCUACUACAUUCUAGAGCCACUCUGAAGUAAAAGGAGAAAAUGUGUUGCUGUAACAAAACCGUAAAAAGCUGUGUGAGAUGGAAUCUGGAGUAUCUAAAGGUACUCUGGCAGCCAUGAACUCUGACUUCUGAGCUCCUCAGCGCAGAAGGAUUUCUAUUCUCUGACAGAGCUCUAGACCCCAUAUGCUGCGUGGACUGGAGAUUCCCCUAAAAAGAAAUGCCAGAACAAAUAUAUAUGUAUUACUCACCUUGAUUCGGUUAUUUCAAGGAUCAUAUCACCUUCAUUUUCUGCCUGCUUGUGGUUGCUCUUUGGUAACUCAAGCAGUUGCGUUUUAUAUUUUGUACAGAGUUGACCAUUGUUAAUGGCAGGAAAUUAUUCUAGUAUAUGCUAUUUGCUAUAACCCAAAGCCAGGAACAUGAGUUUUUAAUAAGUUAUGUUAUAAAUGUUAAUUAUCUUUUUAUCAAUGAGACACUAUGAAUGUUAAAUUUUUGGCAUAGGACCACAUCUGGCAUAGAAAGUGCUUUCAAAUUAUAAGCCCAUCAUGAUUAGAGGAAUGAGUUAGAGUUUAUCAGAAGGACAACUAAAGAAGAGACAACCACAGAAGAGAACAUUGCAGUCCACACAAAGCCCUACAGCAGCCUGAACUCAUGAUAACCUGCUGUCACUUGCACAGCAUCCACGGCAGCUAUCUGUGAAGUCCUUAUAGCCAGCUGUUGCCUCUGAAAAAGUCAUUGUAAAGUUCAUGAACUCAGAGCAAAGACUUCUAGUCUCUAUUUGAGGUAGCUAACAGACUAAGGCUUAGCCAGAUACAGAAAUCAAAGAAAUAGAUAAUGUUAGAUAGAUAAUGUGAGUCUCGACCUGCUGUGGCUAACAGACUAAUACCUCAGCAGAUAGAGAAAUCAAAGAAAAAUAUGAGACUUAUGACAUUUCAAAAUGAUUUUCUACAUUGGAAUAAACAAGUCUCAUUGGCUACAGAUCAUGUUCAUAAGCUUCUACUUCAGAAGUACGUAGAAAACUGUGUUGCAUAAUGUGCCCAUGUAAAAUGUGUGGUACAGCACCUACUCAUGGCAUCCUGUCUAGUGUUUUAGACACUGGUUGCUUUUAUUUUUAUUUCAUUUUAUUUUAUUUUAUUUCAUUUUAUUUUAUUGAGAAGGAAUCUCACUCUGUUGCCCAGGCUGGAGUGCAGUGGCUCGAUCUCAGCUCACUACAACCUCUGCAUCCUGGGUUCAAGCAAUUAUCCUGUCUCAGCCUCCCGAGUAUCUAGGAUUGCAGGAGCACACAACCAUGCCCAGC
Molecule: long non-coding RNA, 1428 nt
Filed under: Homo sapiens (human)
Lineage: Eukaryota; Metazoa; Chordata; Mammalia; Primates; Hominidae
Description: HSALNT0373978
Source: RNAcentral